GAUGAACGCUGGCGGCGUGCCUAAUACAUGCAAGUCGAGCGAACAGACGAGGAGCUUGCUCCUCUGACGUUAGCGGCGGACGGGUGAGUAACACGUGGAUAACCUACCUAUAAGACUGGGAUAACUUCGGGAAACCGGAGCUAAUACCGGAUAAUAUAUUGAACCGCAUGGUUCAAUAGUGAAAGACGGUUUUGCUGUCACUUAUAGAUGGAUCCGCGCUGCAUUAGCUAGUUGGUAAGGUAACGGCUUACCAAGGCAACGAUGCGUAGCCGACCUGAGAGGGUGAUCGGCCACACUGGAACUGAGACACGGUCCAGACUCCUACGGGAGGCAGCAGUAGGGAAUCUUCCGCAAUGGGCGAAAGCUUGACGGAGCAACGCCGCGUGAGUGAUGAAGGUCUUCGGAUCGUAAAACUCUGUUAUUAGGGAAGAACAAAUGUGUAAGUAACUGUGCACGUCUUGACGGUACCUAAUCAGAAAGCCACGGCUAACUACGUG
This 497-nucleotide ribosomal RNA is filed under the name uncultured bacterium. Its description in RNAcentral is "partial 16S ribosomal RNA". It matches the Rfam family "Bacterial small subunit ribosomal RNA", at positions 28 to 507 of the family's 1533-position model. The record is from RNAcentral.